RNAcentral lists this ribosomal RNA (544 nucleotides) under Phaeosphaeria halima. Its description in RNAcentral is "eukaryotic LSU rRNA". The stretch from base 172 to 325 matches the Rfam family "5.8S ribosomal RNA". Lineage: Eukaryota; Fungi; Ascomycota; Dothideomycetes; Pleosporales; Phaeosphaeriaceae. The record is from RNAcentral.
ACCUGCGGAAGGAUCAUUAUCGAUUGCAACACUGGCAGUAAAUGCUCGUGUUGCUAUUGUUGUAUCCAUGAUUUUUUGCGAACAUGUUUCCUUGGUAGGCUUGCCUGCCAAUUGGACAAAACCAUAACCCUUUCAAUAUUUAAUCAGCGUCUGAAUAAUUUUAAUAAUUACAACUUUCAACAACGGAUCUCUUGGUUCUGGCAUCGAUGAAGAACGCAGCGAAAUGCGAUAAGUAGUGUGAAUUGCAGAAUUCAGUGAAUCAUCGAAUCUUUGAACGCACAUUGCGCCCCUUGGUAUUCCAUGGGGCAUGCCUGUUCGAGCGUCAUUUGUAAUCUCAAGCUAUGCUUGGUGUUGGGUACUUGUCUUAGCUAAGCCUAAAGACUUGCCUUAAAUAUAUUGGCAGCCAGUGUUUUGGUUUGAAAUGUGCAGCACAGCGCCUCAAGCUAUUUAAUACAGGCAACCAUGAAGAAUUAUCACUCUUUUGACCUCGGAUCAGGUAGGGAUACCCGCUGAACUUAAGCAUAUCAAUAAGCGGGGGAAAAGA